ACGCUGGCGGCAGGCCUAACACAUGCAAGUCGAGCGGUAGAGAGAAGCUUGCUUCUCUUGAGAGCGGCGGACGGGUGAGUAAUGCCUAGGAAUCUGCCUGGUAGUGGGGGAUAACGUUCGGAAACGGACGCUAAUACCGCAUACGUCCUACGGGAGAAAGCAGGGGACCUUCGGGCCUUGCGCUAUCAGAUGAGCCUAGGUCGGAUUAGCUAGUUGGUGGGGUAAUGGCUCACCAAGGCGACGAUCCGUAACUGGUCUGAGAGGAUGAUCAGUCACACUGGAACUGAGACACGGUCCAGACUCCUACGGGAGGCAGCAGUGGGGAAUAUUGGACAAUGGGCGAAAGCCUGAUCCAGCCAUGCCGCGUGUGUGAAGAAGGUCUUCGGAUUGUAAAGCACUUUAAGUUGGGAGGAAGGGCAGUAAAUUAAUACUUUGCUGUUUUGACGUUACCGACAGAAUAAGCACCGGCUAACUCUGUGCCAGCAGCCGCGGUAAUACAGAGGGUGCAAGCGUUAAUCGGAAUUACUGGGCGUAAAGCGCGCGUAGGUGGUUCGUUAAGUUGGAUGUGAAAUCCCCGGGCUCAACCUGGAACUGCAUUCAAAACUGACGAGCUAGAGUAUGGUAGAGGGUGGUGGAAUUUCCUGUGUAGCGGUGAAAUGCGUAGAUAUAGGAAGGAACACCAGUGGCGAAGGCGACCACCUGGACUGAUACUGACACUGAGGUGCGAAAGCGUGGGGAGCAAAC
RNAcentral lists this ribosomal RNA (744 nucleotides) under uncultured bacterium. RNAcentral describes it as "bacterial SSU rRNA". It matches the Rfam family "Bacterial small subunit ribosomal RNA", at positions 33 to 773 of the family's 1533-position model. The record is from RNAcentral.